UAGGGAAUAUUGGGCAAUGGGCGAAAGCCUGACCCAGCAACGCCGCGUGCGUGAUGAAGGUCUUCGGAUCGUAAAGCGCUUUUCUGGGAGAUGAGAAAGGACAGUAUCCCAGGAAUAAGUCUCGGCUAACUACGUGCCAGCAGCCGCGGUAAAACGUAGGAGGCAAGCGUUAUCCGGAUUCACUGGGCGUAAAGCGCGUGCAGGUGGCGCGGUAAGUUGGGCGUGAAAUCUCCCGGCUCAACUGGGAGAGGUCGUCCAAUACUACCGUGCUUGAGAGCAGAAGAGGAAGAUGGAAUUCCCGGUGUAGUGGUGAAAUGCGUAGAUAUCGGGAGGAACACCAGUGGCGAAGGCGAUCUUCUGGUCUGUUUCUGACACUCAGACGCGACAGCUAGGGUAGUAAACGGGAUUAGAGACCCCGGUAAUCCUAGCCGUAAACGAUGUCGAACUUGGCGUUGGUGGGUUAAACUCCAAUCAGUGCCGCAGCAAACG
This 489-nucleotide ribosomal RNA is filed under the name uncultured Chloroflexota bacterium. RNAcentral describes it as "bacterial SSU rRNA". It matches the Rfam family "Bacterial small subunit ribosomal RNA", at positions 355 to 857 of the family's 1533-position model. The record is from RNAcentral. Lineage: Bacteria; Bacillati; Chloroflexota.